Molecule: long non-coding RNA, 875 nt
Organism: Fopius arisanus
Lineage: Eukaryota; Metazoa; Arthropoda; Insecta; Hymenoptera; Braconidae
Exons: 2
Source: RefSeq, a predicted model, not a curated record
GGUAGAGAUGGAGAGGGGAAUAUACGAGGAGUUGGUAAUCGAGUGCAUAGAAAGAGGAAACUCGGCACUCGCGCUCUCUUAACGGUAACGCAAUUUUUGAAUCCGAGACUAAGACGCGUACUGACCCUAUAGUACACUCCGGACUUUCGACACGCGUCAACUUGUGAAGACAAAAAAACAGGCAGUGGACAGACAUGGCGAAGGUUCCAACCACUAGUGCACUUUCGUUACGCUUGAGGGGAAAUGAGCGCGCGAGACUCGAAGGUGAAUAGCGUCGUCUUGGUCACGGUCAAGGUUCGCGGCGAAUGUACAUUAUCGUUAUGUGCCGAUGAACUCACUUGCGCGGAACCGAUAAAAUUGCUGAGGUUAUUAUAUUUCAUAGGUAUUUUUAUGGGAUUUUGUUUGAAUUACAAAUGGCUUAUUUUCAGAACAACAGAAUUUUCCAUUGAUUGAUAGCUUUGUGCAGUAAUUGCAAUUUUCUUCAAACGCCAUAAGAAGGAUCUACUGAUUAAGAACCAUGAUUUAUAGCAAUUUUUCAAAUAAUUAAAUUAAACGAAAUCACGGCUUAUUCUUUAAAUAUCUAAUCAGAUGUUGAAAAAUUUUGAACAGAUUGUUUUUGUAAAAGCACUUCUUUACCUUCUUUGCUCAUUCGUCUCGAAUUCUUUGGAUCGACGACUGUUAGGUAAUAAGUUUAUCCAUUAGAUUUAACUGAUUAAUUAUAAAUUUGUUUCGUUAAUGUGUAAUACACAUACAUAUAUGUCGUAAAGAUCCGGCGUCAUGAUCUAUUUACAUGAUAAACCAUUUUUCGAUCUAUUUCCUCCUGUAGAUAGGACAUUAUAUACUGGCUUAUUGAAAUACAGAUGAAUAUCAAAUUA